UACGUAGGGGGCAAGCGUUGUCCGGAAUUAUUGGGCGUAAAGAGCGUGUAGGCGGUCCGGUAAGUCAGCUGUGAAAGUCAAGGGCUCAACCCUUGAAAGCCGGUUGAUACUGUCGGGCUAGAGUCCGGAAGAGGCGAGUGGAAUUCCCGGUGUAGCGGUGAAAUAUGCAGAUAUCGGGAGGAACACCAAUGGCGAAGGCAGCUCGCUGGGACGGUACUGACGCUGAGACGCGAAAGCGUGGGGAGCAAACAGG
Molecule: ribosomal RNA, 253 nt
Filed under: uncultured bacterium
Lineage: Bacteria
Description: partial 16S ribosomal RNA
Rfam family: Bacterial small subunit ribosomal RNA
Source: RNAcentral